UGUCAUAUUUUUCUACUUUCUUCAUUCAAUUUGCUUUUUUGCUUUGGGACAGAAAAUCCCGCAUGCAGUGUGGUCCAGGUUAUACCGAACCAUGGAUGUCUCAUGCAGAGCAGUAUCUUAUUGCACACAUGACUUACUCAUGUUGCAAAAGUAGGGCAGCAGAAGGUGCUUGGGGAGAAACCAAAGAAGCAGGACAAGUACAGAGUGAUUCUUCCAGCUUCUGACACUCGGCAGUUUUGGGACUCCCUGUGCUGAAGUUGCAUCUCAAGCAUUGUUUUUAUGAACCACUGAGUGAGGAAGCAACAAUAGGAACAAUGGAUCACUGUUCAGCAUCAGUGGCAACUGCACUUAGAAAUAAGUAACAGUGCCACUUCAAAAUGCUUGACAUGGACAACAGAGACAGAAGAGCCAGGAAAUUAUGGUAGUGCUAAAGCCACACCCACGGCCAGAGGCAGCAUCUCACAGCUCCUCUAAGUUGUGAACGCCUUGGGAGCUGAGAGUCCCUACCAUGCAGAGAGGUAGGAGCCAAGCUCAUCAUUAUAUAAUGCAGCAACUUCUACCCAUGUGCUUC
This 571-nucleotide long non-coding RNA is filed under the name Cyanistes caeruleus (blue tit). RNAcentral's name for it is "lncRNA (ENSCCEG00000014983.1)". Lineage: Eukaryota; Metazoa; Chordata; Aves; Passeriformes; Paridae. The record is from RNAcentral.